Molecule: long non-coding RNA, 1342 nt
Organism: Crotalus tigris (Tiger rattlesnake)
Lineage: Eukaryota; Metazoa; Chordata; Lepidosauria; Squamata; Viperidae
Exons: 4
Source: RefSeq, a predicted model, not a curated record
GGUGCCGCCGCCGCCGCCGCCACAUGGCAACUGCGAAAAGCUCCCUUUGCGCUCGACUUUCCCGCGGGGGUGGUGGGAUUGGACGGAGAAGGUGGGCGGCAAGAAAUUGCUGACAUUGACUCUGGGUUGGGCAGUAACCAGGACGGCGAUUUCGGCAAAAUGAAGUCACUCUCUGCAGGAACCUUUUGUGUUGAGUCAAGGCAAACUGCAGUAGCAAAAGACAAAAACACUGUCACAGAACAAUUUUGGAGUGUGGAUUUCUUUCUCCAACAUGAUCAGCAGGCAUGCAAAAGUGCCCUAGAUGCCUGAAGCAACUGAAAGAAAACCACUUCUGCAAUUUUGCCAAGAAAACUGCAGGGACUAAUCCAACUAAUCACCAGGAAUCAAGGCUGACUCAAAGGAACAUCUACCUGGAUUCUUUCCAAAUGGGGUCCCUGAAGCAAGUCAUACUUCUGGAAUAGGGUAGCUGAUGAUCACAUGUCAGCUUACAGCUGAGGCAUUGGCAAUGCCUAUCUUAAGAGAGACUACAGAUUAGAAAUGACAGCAGUUUUCAAGUAUCUGAAGGGCUAUCAGAUGGAGGAUGGGUACAUUUGUUUAAUGUUGUUUCAGAAAACAGAACAAGAAACAGUGAACACUCACCACAAGGAAUAAGAUUUGGUUGGUCAUUACCAAAAAAGAUAAGUGCUGUAAAACAAUGCAAUAAAAAGCUGUGGGAAGUAUUUAUACAGAGGCCUGAUGGCCAUCUGUCAAGGAUGCUACACUUGUAGAUUUGUGAACCGGACAAGAGAUGAUCUUUAAGAUGACUCCCAAUCCUUGCAUUCUACCUUUCUAUGAUUGUUUCUGAAAUAAUUAUAGAUAAAUGAAAUCAAUUUAUGUGCAUUGAAAUAAAUAAGCUGGAAAAUGUAUAGAAAAAAUUGUUCUGGAAUGAACAGCAGAUACUAUUUCAGGACAAAAGAAGGUGUGAGGUAAUGGUUAUGAUCUGUUCAACUUCUUCCUAUCAAAUUCACUUUCCAAUAGCUGCAUUCAUGCAAUAUUACUAGCAUAUGUUUAAAAAUUAAGUGGUUCUUAAAAGCCAGCUGAAUGCAAUAUUUAAAAACAAACUUUAGUAUUGCAACUCUUGUACCAUGCAUGCAAGUCUGUUUAAAAGAAAUGAAAAUAUUUCAUUUCAGUAUCUUAGUCAAGCUGAUUCAAAGAUACCUAUAUCACCGAUUUAUGAAUCUGGUCAUAAGGCAACUGAUUACAUAAAAAUAAUAAAUUGAUACCAAGAGCAAUUUUAUUUAAACUGCAAUUUUUUUUAAGGUGCAGAGGCAUGCAAACAAAAUAAAUAUACUUGGGUCACUAC